AUUGAACGCUGGCGGCAUGCCUUACACAUGCAAGUCGAACGGUAACGCGCCUUCGUUUGCCGACGAGUGUCGCCCGGGUGCGUAAUACUUCCGCACGUGCCCGAUCGUUGUGGAUAACGAGUCUCAUGCUUUUCUAAUACCUCAUACCAUCUACUGUUUUAAGCCGGGGACCGCAAGGCCUUGCGCCGACUUUGCUGCCGAUGGCAGAUUAGGUAGUUGGUCGGUUAAAAGCUUAUCAAGUCGACGAUGUGUAGCGGUUCUGAGAGGAUGAUCCGCCACACGGGAAGUGAGACACGGACCAGAAUCCGACGGGAGGCAGCAGUGGGGAAUAUUGGACAAGGGGCGAAAGCAUGAUAGAGCAAAGCCGCGUGAAGGAUGAAGGACUUCGGGUUGUAAAAUGCUUUUGUAAGGAAAGAAAAGAAGUCUAAGAAAACAGGAGGGUCAUGACGGUACCGAAAGAAAAAGCAACGGCUAACUACGUG
Molecule: ribosomal RNA, 482 nt
Filed under: uncultured bacterium
Lineage: Bacteria
Description: partial 16S ribosomal RNA
Rfam family: Bacterial small subunit ribosomal RNA
Source: RNAcentral